CGCUGGCGGCGUGCCUAACACAUGCAAGUCGAACGAGAAAGUGGAGCAAUCCAUGAGUAAAGUGGCGACCGGGUGAGUAACACGUGACUAACCUACCUCCGAGUGGGGAAUAACUCCGGGAAACCGGGGCUAAUACCGCAUAACAUCGCAAGAUCAAAGCAGCAAUGCGCUUGGAGAGGGGGUCGCGGCUGAUUAGCUAGUUGGCGGGGUAACGGCCCACCAAGGCGAAGAUCGGUAUCCGGCCUGAGAGGGCGCACGGACACACUGGAACUGAAACACGGUCCAGACUCCUACGGGAGGCAGCAGUGGGGAAUUUUGCGCAAUGGGGGAAACCCUGACGCAGCAACGCCGCGUGGAGGAUGAAGCCCUUUGGGGCGUAAACUCCUUUCGACUCGGACGAUAAUGACGGUACGAGUGGAAGAAGCACCGGCUAACUCUGUGCCAGCAGCCGCGGUAAUACAGAGGGUGCGAGCGUNGUUCGGAAUUAUUGGGCGUAAAGGGCGCGUA
This 507-nucleotide ribosomal RNA is filed under the name uncultured bacterium. Its description in RNAcentral is "bacterial SSU rRNA". It matches the Rfam family "Bacterial small subunit ribosomal RNA", at positions 34 to 573 of the family's 1533-position model. The record is from RNAcentral.